AACGAACGCUGGCGGCAUGCUUAACACAUGCCAGUCGAACGAUACCUUCGGGCCUAGUGGCGCACGGGUGCGUAACGCGUGGGAACCUGCCCUUAGGUUCGGAAUAACUCCCCGAAAGGGGUGUUAAUACCGGAUAAUGUCUUCGGACCAAAGAUUUAUCGCCUUUGGAUGGGCCCGCGUUGGAUUAGCUGGUUGGUAGGGUAAAAGCGUACCAAGGCGACGUUCCAUAGCUGAUCUGAGAGGAUGAUCAGCCACACUGGGACUGAGACACGGCCCAGACUCCUACGGGAGGGAGCAGUGGGGAAUAUUGGACGAUGAGGGAAAGCCUGAUCCAGCAAUGCCGCGUGAGUGAUGAAGGCCUUAGGGUUGUAAAGCUCUUUUACCCGGGAUGAUAAUGACAGUACCGGGAGAAUAAGCGCCGGCUAACUCCGUG
Molecule: ribosomal RNA, 433 nt
Filed under: uncultured bacterium
Lineage: Bacteria
Description: partial 16S ribosomal RNA
Rfam family: Bacterial small subunit ribosomal RNA
Source: RNAcentral